Non-coding RNA from Equus caballus (horse), 4556 nucleotides. The record is from RefSeq and is a predicted model, not a curated record. NCBI's taxonomy places the organism in Eukaryota, Metazoa, Chordata, Mammalia, Perissodactyla, Equidae.
GGCACAGAUGUUAACUCAGGGCCAAUCUUCCUCAUCCCCCCCCCCCCAAAAAAAAGGUGAUGGGGAGCAAAAACUCCAAGCUGGACAUGUGGCAGGCCUGUGUGCCUUAGCCCACCCACUCCCAGCAUAGCGAGGCCCACCCCAGGGACCAAUACUAUGACAAAGUUCAAAUUUGCCAUUCAUGUUAUAAAGUCUGGCUCCAGGCUUUUUGAGCCUAAUUUAUAUUUUACUGGUUUUGUUUUUUUUAAAUAGCAAAGCCUUGAGCAUCAGCUACUGUCUUCAUAAAUAUGGUCAGUACUUUAUCUCCAGGCCCUUGAUUUAGGGCACUGUAUAAGCUUUAAAAGAAAAGUGUUACAAUAGCAUUUGCAAUUCAACUUUUGAGUUCUUUGCAUGAGGAGAGCCAAUAGCACAUAGAAAAGAUGCCACUAGAACGUCAUUGAUCCACAGGGACAAUUAUGGAACUGGUAUGCAAGAGAAUGGAGGAGGGAGAGUAGUACUGAGAAAAAAAGCCAAAUCACGUGCCUCCUUAUUUUACACAAUAAGCAGCAAGACAUUUUUAAUGUAUGUUAUGUAAAAAAAUUUCAAGUGUUACUGAAAUCUGCAGGUUGGGGUAUUUUGUGUAACUGAAUAUUCUGAUUAAGUGAGGGCUGCAGUGUGUACCAUACAAUAAUGACCAAUUUCCAAAGAUUACAGUGCCAUAAACUGCCCUUGAUACUAAAAUCAUGCCAAACACAACCAGCUUUCUUUGAUGAGUCAAAAUGCACUUCUGGAUCUUGCCAAGCCUUGAGGUCAUCAUUACAAGCAAAACAGUUCUCCUUAUUUAACCUUUCUGAUUGGAUUCUGAGCAAGGAGCAGCUCCCUGGGCUAUGGUCAAUCGCACUGAAAUACAAUUGCUCCCCUCCUCAGUUCCUAACUCUGGUUUUUCACAGGUGGAACUGGCUUCAGGCAGGGUCUACCUGUAUUCAGAAAAGAGGGAAAAGGAUAGGCUCGGCCUCCCUAUCAGGGAGGAGGCUUCAAGUUCAUUGUUGUCACUGGUGACUGGUUCUGAAAUUGAGGAACUAGUUUGAGGAACUUCAGAAUAAACAAGAAACCCAAACAACUUGGCUUUCCACAGAAGACUUCCAACGCAUGGGGCUAAAUGGAAAGAAGCUCGUGGUCCAGCUCUGCCCUCUGGCAGUGGAACCUUAACCAUGGCCUCGUUUCAGAUGCCGCCUUACGCACCCUUUGACAGAUUGGCCUGAGAGACCAGCUUCAGGACAUGAGCAGCAGGGGUGCGUUUGACAUGUCCCUUUACAAUACAGGGUCACAUUCUUGUCCUCCCCCAGGAAGGGAAGUAAGGGCUUGGGACCUGUGGUAUGACGGAAUAUUUGCAGAGGGUCUCAGACCAAUUUCCUUGGUAAAGGAGGGGGACCCAUGAGACAGCCUGUGGCUCUCUCAUCCUCUCCCAGGCCAGGAGGGAUGAGGAGGAGUGUGGAUUUUGGUCUUGUACUUUCACUGAACAACAAAUACUUAGCCAGUGGUUACCAGGCUCCAGAUGCUGUGCUGGCCAGAGCAGAUGUGAUGGUGACCAAGGCAGACAAGGUCCUUGCCCUCGCAGAGCUUUCACCCUCGUAACCCCAGAAAGGCCUUCCUGGAAUGCUGAACCUAGUUACUAGGAAGCACUGUCAUAGCUCAGGCCUCGGACUAUCCGCCUACAAAUCUGUCUCAGAGUGGCCCCAAGCACGUGGGAUUUGCCAGUGUGGUCACUGCCCUCUCUAUCCAGCCUGGAAGGCUAGGAUAAGUUGGCCAUGUCUUUAAUGGCAGGCUACUCAGGGUCUACUUCUGCUCUGAACUACACUUGAGCACAUUUCUUGACAGUGCUCACACCUCCGCAAAUGCACUCCUUGCCCCCAUAGUGCUGAGGUUUCCAGAUUGCUCUCAAGCUCCUAUUCCAAGCUGACAAGCAGGACAAGUCCCCCAAAUGAGACAAAUGCUGAGGGUGUUCCCCCCUAGACACCUGCAGAAUGGGGAGGUGGGGCUCCUCCCAUCCGAGGAGCUGUGUGUGUGACUAGGCUGGGUCAAGCUGGAAAAAGAGGGCCACAGGGCCUUGGUGCAUUCCCCACUCCUCUCCAGCUCCCACAGUCAUGGUUCAUGAUUCAGUACCUGUAAUGUAUCUGCUCCCAUGUCCAUCUCUCCCUCGCCAUGGUGAGUCAUCGAGGACAGCACCCCAGCUGUCAUUUUUAUGUUCUAGCACCUAGCAGAGCCUGCCACAUUUGAUACUCCUGGUAAGCAUGCACUGAGUGAAAAAACGACGGACAAGCUACUGAGAAACAGAUGAGUGCUGCUGGCUCUGAGAGCGUGGCUGGCCUGGGAGAUGGGCAUCCAGACUCUCCAAUCACCUGGUGAGCUGGAGAGGACGGAGCCAGUUCCCUGCACAAGGGGCUACAGGACAGUGGCUGUAUUCUGACUGCAUCCCACCAAGAAGGGGCCACCAUCCAGAUAUGACAUCAUUGCUUUGCCCACAAGGAAGAUUCUCUUCACUGAGAGAAGCCGGAUGAAUCCAGUCGGAGUGACACCCAACUACUCUGGUUCUUCUGGCCACCUGCAUGCCACGGGCAACACGUCUCUUCAUGGGAGAGAGAUGGAGAAGAGCUUCUUGAUGCCCAGCGGGUUUGUACCCUUGCAAUCAAUCAUUAAUAGUAACUGAAUGCCCAUUUUGGAUAAGAUAUUGCUUGGCAAGGUAGGAAAGUGCCCUAAAGGUGCAGGCAACCUUUGAGACUUCCGGGUAACCCUGCCCAGAACUGUAUAUUCCUAUCAACCUUGACCUCCUUAUGGUUACACGAACCUCAUGGUACAAGACAGAGUCAAAUAAAAAGCUUUCUGUUUACUUUUUCUUAGACCCAAAGCAGCUGCUGCUCUGGCUCCGCCCUUCCCAGGUCUGGCAGAGCUUGCAGAAAGGCUGAGAAUGGUGGGAUGGGGGUGGGGGAAUGGAGGAGGAGCUAGCUAAAAAGUACAAUUCCUGCUCCAGAGCAGUUCCUUUGUUCAGAGGCAGCAAAGCAUAGUGAAAAGAGCCUGGACUGUAGUUCAGAUUUUGCUAUUAACUAGCCCUGUGACCUUGGGCAACUCACUCAGCUCUCUUGGGCCACCAUUUUCUCUUCUGUAAAAUAGACGAGGGCACAAACAGUAAUGAUCAUUUCUGGUUUGUAAUUCCAGUAGGUCUUUCUUGACAGAGUGGUUAAGGCUUAAGGUCACUUAGCCAUGUCCGCCUGAAGUGACUGCUGCUAGUCCAGAUUGAUGGGGUGUGUAGACAGGGCUGGGGAAGGAGUCUGCGACAGUUACAGGAAACAAGACCACUUGCAAGGUAAUACUAGCUUUUCCCCUGCAGCUUCAAUAAAGUCAAGUUCACCUUGUGGGUGACCCUGGACAUUGCUUACAGAUGUCCCUGACCAUCAGCAGUCAAUUCACCGCCAACUGCACUGGUCUAGAACAGAGAGCUGAACAAACUCUUUGUCUUGAUGGACACCUGGUCAUGGCUUUAGUGGUAAGAGGCUCUGUAGAGGCCACAGUAACCAGAAACUGAGUGGAAGGGAUGGCUCAGGAGUUCCCUCUGCGGCUUCUUUCUGAGUCCAAACACUGGCUCCAGAAGUGUAGACUACAGAGGUGGUACAGGCUUAGGAUUUCAAAGCUUCCUGAAAUCCAGGGUUUAAUCUAGCCUUUCCAAUCCCUAGAGCUCUUCAGAGCUCUAACUCAGAUGGCAAAAAGGCAGGCAGGUAGAAAAGGGUUCCCCAAAAGGUCUUUCACACCAAAGUACGGCUUCUCUCUCUCUACUCUUUGCAGCGGGGUUUCCCAGCUCCCUAGAGCCAAAGCUCCCUCCUGCUUCUUUGCUGACUGUAACUGGAAGCGGGCCAUUUUCCACCCUUAAGGUUGCUGGACUCAGAAGGGCAGUGACACUGCUGAUCUGGGCUCGGUGCCCUGGCCACAUGACCCCCCUGCCAGGGUGUCCAUCUCUCUGUCACUCAGCAAGCGGCGGGAGCCUCCUGUUUGCUUCCUUAUCUCUGCCUCUUUGGGCUGAAAUGAAUGUGAUCUUUGGCAGAGGGCUUCUCUACAAGGUCUGCUCAAGACUUCCUCUGCAACGUGCUGGGGAAGAGAUCGCCUGUCACCUACCCCCUGCAUGGGUGACUCACCUUCCAGAGAAAGUGCUCUGCUCACCUAAGCAAAGUUGCCUGGAAAAUGACUAAGGCACCUAUCAAAUGCAGUCUGUGGGGCCAACCAGCCAUCGAGCUGGGUCCAGACACACUCUGCCUCUCACCUCCAGCCUGAAGUCAAGUGUGGAGCUGCCACUCCAGGCCUGCUGGUUUCAUUUUCAUCUGAACUGAGCUCCACAUGAGGCUUGACAUCCGGUGAUCUAUUUUUUCUAAAAACUAGGUUCACUUUAGAAAUGACUCUUUGGCCAUGAAGACAGCUUCCCCAAGAGAAAACAAAAUGUUAUUUAAAGGGAACGUCAGCCUAUGGGAGCCUGUAUUUUUGUUUUGUAUUAAGAAGGGGAAAAAAGAAUUUAAAAUGUAAUGUGAAAUUUU